Molecule: long non-coding RNA, 1908 nt
Filed under: Mus musculus (house mouse)
Lineage: Eukaryota; Metazoa; Chordata; Mammalia; Rodentia; Muridae
Description: long non-coding RNA chr11:66560182-66562090
Source: RNAcentral
UUGGAAGCAUUCCUGUCCCACUCUUGGAUUUUGCUAAUGGUUUGCUUAGUUGAAGAAUAAGCUUCCAUGCUCUCAUACUCUGUAGAGAAGAGCCUCAACUUUGGGUGUCUCCACCCUUAGGAUGGGGCAAACGUAAUAGGCAUUCUGUAGGAAAACUACUUCAGAUUUUGAAUUUGCUCUGCUCCCAGGCUAUCUAGAGGUAGGAAUAAACCCCUUAUAAUAUUGGGCAGCAGCGGCAGUGGCAGCAGCAACCACAACCCCCAAGCAGCCAUGUGAUCAUACUGUCAGGCUGGGAUGCUUGGAAAGUGAGAUCUACACACCGAGUUUUCUACUUAGGAUAUUUAAGAUAGCCUCAGUGUAGGACCAGCUUAUCUGGACAUAUCCCAUUGCAUGCUGAACAGAACCUAGGCUUUAAGCCUCUUGUGAUUUUCCGGUCCAUGCUUUCGUGGUAACAUUCUACACCUGUGCCAUUCACUGAAGCAGACAGCUUCCCAGCUUCCAUCUGUGCUCCCAAAUCGAAGGACUUAGUUCCACUCAUAGACUGGGCCCUACUUACAUUUGUCCCUUGGCUUUGGAGGUGACUUCUAAGGCAGUCUGUCUCUCUGUGGAAAAGGAAAGCCCAAGCCUGCAUCUGAAACAUGAGGCUAUUUCUUGAAGACGGCCACUCAUAUAUCAAAAACAAUUCAUCCUGACUUGGUUUUUGUCUCUUUCCAUCUGAAAAGACAAGAGCAUUAAUUAACAUCCGACUUGAUGUGAAAACACAACUAGAAAUCACAACAGAAGUUUAACCUUUAAAGAGUUUGCAUUUAAAUUUUCUGAGAGAGAAAGCAAGUGUGUAUUCUAUUGAUGCAUUUUCUCUACCAACUCUCAAAACCUGCAGGUGUUAAAUUAGCUGCAAGAACUGCUCCAGGCUUCCAAGUCUGUAGGAGAAACAUGCUAAUGAGGACUGAAGGAAAUUAAUGGAAGAGAGUCCAGGACGCUGGGAGAGAAGUUCAGCAAUGCUUCCUAUGUGCGGGAUCUUCAGAGAAGCAGCUUCAAGCAGCCAAGAGCUCCUGAGUGAAAUAGACUGUUCUGCUCUUCACACUUAAGCACUUCCUUCUGAUGCUCGGGUCUGAAAUCUCCUGAAGGUAACAUGAGCAUCUGAGGUUCUAAUACAGGAAUGGGGGAGAGUAAGAAGAGGCCCUCAACACCCCUAAACCUGUACCCCUUAAGACUAUAUAAUAAGAAGAAAGACAUGUGUUAUUAUAUAAAUUCUGACUUGAGUACAGAAGAUGAGUCAAAUGUCAAGUUUUCAACAAUCCCCACCGUCUACCCAGAUCAAAUGUCUCACUUUAUACGUGAAAAACUAAGGCACAGAAAGACUAAGGAUGAUCUCUGAACACAAGCAUCCUGGUUUGUGACUCUCUUGAGACUUGAAUUUGUGCCUAGGCAUAUUGAUGGCAACGAAGAGGCUCACAGGGGUUUGACAUGGAUGCUCAUGCUAUUCCAGUGGUGCCUGUGACCAGAGGGUAGUAAUUUCAAUGAGAGUGACCCGGGGACCAUGAAUCAUGCCUUUAUUUGUAUUAUUGUAUCCAGUCAAUUGGGUCUGAUAGACAUCUAUUGAAUGCCUGCUAUCCAAGAGCCUUGGAGAUGUCAUGGUUGAUCAAGGGAGACAAAUGACCGAUACGCAAACAAAUAAAUGUUAUCCAGGGUAAUAAAUGUUGAGCAAAGUGCUAAGGGAACAGUGACAGGGGACAGUUUAUUCUGCCCAGGCACAGGAAAGUGAGGAGGCAUUCUUCAGACAGUGGGGAAGCAUGCCAAGUUUGUUUGUUUGGUGAGAUGUGUUUCUAUUUGAGUUGCCUCUUUGAAUGAUAGAGUAUCUAUGAAGAAAAAAGAUGGUGUGAUAUCGUAAACAAAAACAGGCCCCAG